RNAcentral lists this ribosomal RNA (301 nucleotides) under uncultured bacterium. Its description in RNAcentral is "partial 16S ribosomal RNA". It matches the Rfam family "Bacterial small subunit ribosomal RNA", at positions 509 to 809 of the family's 1533-position model. The record is from RNAcentral.
CAGUAGCCGCGGGAAUACGAAGGGGGCAAGCGUUAUCCGGAUUUACUGGGUGUAAAGGGAGCGCAGACGGCUCUGCAAGUCUGAAGUGAAAGCCCGCGGCUUAACCGCGGGACUGCUUUGGAAACUGCAAGGCUUGAGUAUCGGAGGGGCAGGCGGAAUUCCUAGUGUAGCGGUGAAAUGCGUAGAUAUUAGGAAGAACACCAGUGGCGAAGGCGACUUUCUGGACGAAAACUGACGCUGAGGCGCGAAAGCCAGGGGAGCGAACGGGAUUAGAUACCCGCGUAGUCCCUGUCUCUUAUAA